Molecule: ribosomal RNA, 515 nt
Filed under: Papilio clytia (common mime swallowtail)
Lineage: Eukaryota; Metazoa; Arthropoda; Insecta; Lepidoptera; Papilionidae
Description: partial 16S ribosomal RNA
Rfam family: Bacterial large subunit ribosomal RNA (bases 387-515)
Source: RNAcentral
UUUUUGAAAUAUAAUUUAAAGUCUAAUCUGCCCACUGAUAUAUUAUUAAAGGGCUGCAGUAUUUUGACUGUACAAAGGUAGCAUAAUCAUUAGUCUCUUAAUUGGUGACUUGUAUGAAAGAUUGGAUGAAAUAUAAGCUGUCUCUAAUUAAUUUAUAGAAUUUAAUUUUUUAGUUAAAAAGCUAAAAUAAAUUUAAAAGACGAGAAGACCCUAUAGAGUUUAAUAUAAAAUUUUAUUAUUAUUUAUAUGUAAAUUUUUAAAUUAAGAUAAAAUUUAAUAUUUUAUUGGGGUGAUAAAAAAAUUAAAUUAACUUUUUUUUAAAAAUAAACAUUAAUUUAUGAAUAAUUGAUCCAUUUUUAGUGAUUAAAAGAAAAAAUUACCUUAGGGAUAACAGCGUAAUUUUUUUUUUUAGUUCAAAUAGGAAAAAAAGUUUGCGACCUCGAUGUUGGAUUAAGAUAAAAUUUAAAUGCAAAAGUUUAAAAUUUUGAUCUGUUCGAUCAUUAAAAUCUUACAUG